This 5608-nucleotide long non-coding RNA is filed under the name Salmo salar (Atlantic salmon). RNAcentral describes it as "lncRNA (ENSSSAG00000099055.1)". The record is from RNAcentral. Lineage: Eukaryota; Metazoa; Chordata; Actinopteri; Salmoniformes; Salmonidae.
CUUGCUCCCUUACAUAACUAGAUCAAUUAUAUGCUUCAAUGUGCCGCGGGUCACAGUGCUGUGGCAAGACCAGACGAUGAUAGAGGUUCUGCUCGUGAUGUUAAAUUGCAGUCACAGAUGCUCCGAUUUCAAAAUGAUUUGGAGCGCUGUUGAAAAGAUAAUACGCUGACAAUACAAUGGACUAAUUAGAAAAAUAAAAGCAAUACUUUUCAAUGCGUGAGAUAUAACAGGGUCACAUGCGUGUGUUUCACGGCCAAUACGUGAGAUUUGGCAGUCCUGCGGCGGUUCGAUGGUACAAUGAUUACACUAUACUUGCUUGUUUUGUUACAUAAACUGAAUUUAAGCGAACUAUUAGAAUUUUAGCAACCAGAAAAUGGCGGAGCUAUUUCGGCAUAUUGCAUCUUUAAGUGUAUGGUCCAUUUUAUCAUUAAUAGCAAUGAGUGACUCAGACAACUGCAAAAUUUCACUUUCAACAAGUGGAAAAGGCUGUUCAAAUGCAAUGGCAGUUCGCGUUUUCUUCACAAUGGUGUUCGGGAGUCUUUGUUUUUGAUAUCCCUUAACAAAAUAGUGUGUUGCUCAGUGUCUUUCUACACGGGCUGGUGCCCCAUGUCUUUUUCAGCACAGAGGCUGGUUAACUAGGUUUUAGGAGGUUAUUGGGUCACUCGGCAAUGUUACAGGUUUAAAGGCACAUAAGCAAGUAGGGCCUAGAAUAAGCACAUAGGUUUCUCUAGAGGCCAAAUAGUACUGUAAUAGCACUGUGUUGGCUAGUCUUUCACUUGGAAACGUUUGACAUAAGGGGACCCGCCUCUGUUCACUAAGUGGGUCCAGGACCUGAACUGUUCAUACCUAGGGGGAGAACCAGCAGUCUGAGAAGCAGGAAUCUGUCUACACUGUCACGUCUGCUCCCGCUCUUCCCUUCCUCUGGCGAGAUUACCCUGCAUCACGCGCUCCUGCCAUCUAUCAUGCACACCUGCCUUCCCUCGUCACUUGCAUCAGCAUUAUUGGACUCACCUGGACUCACUUAUCUCCUGUUAAUUUCCUCCCCUAUAAUUGUCUGUUCCCUAGCUCUAUUCCUUGCUGCGUCGUUGUAUUGUUUUUGUCUCUUGGAUUUGUUUUUGACGCUGUCUAUGUCAGUCAUUUACUAAAUGUUUAAUCCCAGUACCUGCUUCGUCCCUCCAGCGUCAUUCCGCAUGACAUACACAUGUGUGAUGAAAACCCUGUAUGACUGCUGCAUUGCUGCAGAUGACAUCCUCUGCAGUCUGGACAGUAUAGGACACAGGACCAGUCAGCAAUGAAUGUAGCAGAAACCCACUUUGGUCCUUUGAGGCUCAUCUGUACUGGCUGUGGUCCUGCCCAUCAUCUUGAUUCUACUUGUGUUGGUAUUCUUUCUAUCAUUCAUGUUGUGGCAUCGCAUGAUAGGCAAGAAAGGUAACACCAUCCUCUGUCAAACAUCCUAUAGAUCAGAUUCAGAAAUGUGUAAGAGGCGUAGUUCAAUAUUCCAAGAGGUGAAAACUCUUCAUUCUUAUGAUCUGGGUAGACCAGAGUCAAUCCAUCUCAAGUGUGCAUAAUCCCAGUGACACCAGUUGAUUUGCUACAAGGUGGUAGACCUUGAAUCAGAGACAAAGUAUCAACUGAAGAGGGGAGAAAAGAGAGCAAUACAGAACAAAAGUCUAUCUUUCUGGUAAGAGGGAUAAAGCCUACAAUUUAUAGAAAGUUGCUGUCCCUUAUUCUCAUAAUGAUCACUGCCACUCCCCUUUGUAUAAUCCUGUCCUUUAUUCCUCUCUUAUUUUCCAUUGUGUUGUGGAUGACCUGUAGCUACAUAGAGAAGGUCUGAUGUGGAGAGUCAACUGGAAGAAGGUAGAGUAAGAUGAUGCACUUUACUUGUCCAAGUCACAUGAUCAUACAGCACAUCAGUUUCUGAAUAUUGCUACGUGGAAGUUUUGUCUAAACAGAAAAACACUAAAUGAUGUGUUAAUGAAUGCCCCAUUGUUUCUGUUUCAUCUUAAUAGCAACUCAUUCUUCAGGUGAGGGAGUUUGUUUACAUGUAGUCAUUUUUAAAUGGUUUCCGCUGUUCUAUAUUAUUUUACAUUUACUGUCAAUUACAUAGUGACCCUGAACCCAAAUUAGACUCAUUGUUUGUUUUAAUUUGACAGGAGAUAGAAAUCAUCCUGACCAGUUCACAAAGACCCCAGAGGUUCCUCCGGUGUCAGAGAAAGUGCUAGAAGAGGACAGGUCUGAGAACCAGGACAGAGGAGACACACCUUAACUGGACCAGAACCUCCAGAGGACAAACUACCAUGACCCGCAGAGCGAACAAGAGGAAGAAGAAAUACUAGACCUGCACAUGAAGCCCAACAAGGAGAGACACUAGGACCUGUACACAGUAGACCACAAAUACAAGAACCAGACAAAUCAACACAUGCAGGAGUCCAGCCAGGAGAUUCAGUCAGGGGAACCAGCCAGGGGAGUAAAGAGAGAAUAAUUAUGUGGAAGAAUAAGAGGAAGUAAUAAAGAGACAGACGAGGAGAAAUGGGAACAAAAUACAGAGGGGGACAUGAACGAGAGAUGAAGGACAGGAGUAGAAGGAAUCAGACACAGAGAAUGAAGGAGUUGAUACCAACCAAACAUCCACCCAGAAUGAUGAGAUGGAUGAGACGCAUAUAAUAAACCCCAAUGAGCAGCACAUUGCCCAGACUACACUACAGAGACAGUCCUGUGAAUCACCAGCAUCCCCAGAUAGCAAAGAAAAAAUAAAGGACAUGAGUCACCCAUCCCAGACCCCAAUGAGCAGCACAUUACCCAUAAUACACCACAGAGGCUGUCCAGUGACUCCGCAGAAGACCCAGAAAGAAUUGAUGACACACCCGCCCCAGACCCCAAGGAGCAGCACAUUAUCCACAGUCCGCUACAGGCGCAGUCCAGUGACUCCCUUUGAUGACCGCCAAGAGAAGGGGCACAGAGAAAGUAAAAAUAAAUGCAUCCUUCAGUAAUUUGCAAUUCACUUGUAUUGAAGAUUAUCCACAAACUGUAACACUUCUUUGUACCAGUAGGGGUCAGUGUUCUUUAGCGUUUCCAUCUACUACUUCCUUUGCAGGGUCCAUUUUUUUAUUUCAGUGUGGUAAGACUGUUUUUGUGACAGUUGUUGUGAAUACAUACAUUACAACAAAAAUAUACAAAUAUGUAUGUUUGUGAUGGUGAUCCUGUUUUGAGCUGUGGCAAAUUUCUUUAUAAACCAAUGGCAAAUUUGACUGUUUAUUUUAGAGAGGUUUUCCACAGCUUAUUACACUUACAUAUAGUAAUUUAGCAGACGCUCUUAUCCAGAGAGACUUACUUUCGACACAUGUACUUAUUGUAAGUGAAUCAACUAUGCAUCAGUCAUCGCAAGUAAGACACAAUCAGAUGAACAACAGCUGCUCAAUGAUUAUGACCCCUUGAAGAUACAGCCAGUUCAUUGUUGGUUCACUAAUUGAUUUUGCCUUGCAGAUAAUGCAUUUUUGUUUGAGUUUCAUACCAAAUACUCAUACUGACACAGUACUUUCUUAGUCUAGUAUUUACUUAGCAUGAUAAUUCACCUUCCUAAUCCACAGAUUGGCUCCUACAAACAAUACACAAAGACAAACUGCAUCUCAGUAGCUAAUGAAAAGAAUACUCAGCGCACAAAAAAGAACAAGAGAACAAGCUAAUCCUAAACCAAAUGCCAGGCUGGUCUAGAUUUCCAAAGGGAAUAGGUAUCUUUAUCGGUCAGACCUGGUUAGUUUAACCCCAGAGUCAGAGAGGGGCCUCUGAUCUGCUACCAGCUGACCUGUGGGUCCAGAGCACCAGAGGAGAAUGAACACUAUCGGUUUCUGUGGUCACAACAAAUACCAGGGGAAUAUUAAUAUAUUGAAUUAUUCUGGAGGCGCGGAGGUGGGCGGGUAUGGGAAUAAUAAUGCAGUUCCUCAGAGAUGGUGUUGAUGUCUUGCUGGCAGUAGGAGAGCUCUGGUCCUGUUCUCCUUCUACUGGCUGGGAUUGUAGGUUCAACUCCCUAUGCCUCCCUUUCUGCAUCCAACCUCUUACUUUAACACUCAUUGUUUCAGGGUUACAUUUACAUUUACAUUUUAGUCAUUUAGCAGACGCUCUUAUCCAGAGCGACUUACAGUAGUGAAUGCAUACAUUUCAUACAUUUUCUUCACAUCAUGGAGGUACACAUCUUUUGCAUUUCAGUAGUUCUGUCAAAGUUGUUUGGAGUUUUUCCAGUUUAUAGAGCUCACCAGCUUGUAGUCCUAAAAACCGAAAAUGAGUUACCUCUGGUUCGUUCAGCCCUUCCUAUGGGAAAAAUGAGUUACCUCUGGUUCGUUCAACCCUUCCUAUGGGAAAAAUGAGUUAUUUUUAUAUUUUUCAGUUGUAACAGUCAGGGUUGAUGCCUGACUGUUACCACUGGCAUUAACAGUCGUUGAUUCUCAUAAAUACGACCCCCUGGGACAAAGGACCGAGCGAUCCAUGAGGUCACAAUAUACUGACAUGAUUUUCUAGUCUAAAAAGUAACAUUUUUGAAAAAUCACAUUCAAGACAUAACAGCAGUGUGGUCAACAAAACCCAUUUCUGCCUUUUCUAUGUGAGUGCCCAUUUCCUGUUGGAGCCUAAUGUUCUCCUAGACAGGGGCCCAAUUUAAGUUUACACUUUAGAUUGUUUGGGUCUAGUUUGGCUCCUCUUCUACUUGAAAGAGACAGAGAGAGUGUGAGAGAGAGAGAGAGAGAGAGAGAGAGACACCCUUGAUUAGCAUGCUGGGUUGUUUAAAUUGCCUCCUGGAGUGCCGAGGUAGAAUCGAACAAUAUCCUCUGGCUUUAGACUCCAUAGCCCAAUGGCCCCAUAGCUUGUCAUUUAUUUGAAUGCAUCAGGAUUAAGAUAGAGAGGCCUACCUGGCACCACUCCACUGGGGAAGCUGGCUCGCUGGCUGCUGAGCCCAAGGCGGACAGAUCCUAGUGGCUUAUGAUGAAUCAAUUCAUAUCAGUUCAAUAAAAGUGGCUGGAUGAAUGCCUCUUUUUGUGCCACGGUUUAUAGUGAUAGAACAAACUCUGUGCCCAUGGUCAUUAUGUGAAUGUAUAAUUUAGCAUGGCCAAGACACCAUAAUUCAAUAUUAAAUGAGACUCCUUUGCAAUUAUUGUCUCGGACCUCAAUUCAGGCCUGGUUUAUCUCCAGAUCCCCUUUUAAUUGGAAUACCAGGAGUGACUAAGAGGUAAUUGUUCAGCGGAAUUGUUAUCACUUCGUAUUGACUGCGUCUGUCUUCCAGGAUGCUGUGGAGGUUUAUUACUGUACCAGGCCUAAUCUGUAAACUCCAUUCUGCUGCUAACAUUUGGUCAUCAUGCAACAUUUAAGAGGGCCCAAGGCACACACACUUAAGUAUCCAGGGCAAUAAGAAAUAUUGUGUACUUUCCUGUCCACCAGGAGAGGAGAGGCACAGACAGUGUUGGUGUUAUUUGCGAUUCUAUGCUUUUGCUUUUGCUUUUACAGGUUAGGCCACUUCCUUUAGGAUGCAUUAAUAAAAUCCUUGAAAACCGUUUUGCUUCUUUCACAAAGCGUUUCUUCAUAGAAUGUCAUUUUUCUGAACCUUUCACACUGUCAUUGAAGG